Molecule: long non-coding RNA, 501 nt
Organism: Homo sapiens (human)
Lineage: Eukaryota; Metazoa; Chordata; Mammalia; Primates; Hominidae
Exons: 2
Source: RefSeq, a predicted model, not a curated record
AGUCUGCGCGGAUCGGGAAUGGGACUCGGGAGUGGACUACAAGUCCCAGCAGGGCGUGCGGCCACAGCUCGCAGGCUCGGAUCGGGAUUGGGACAUAAGGCGGCGUUCUGAAAAGGGGAGAGUGCUGCACCCAGUGUGCUUCGUGUGCAUCCUAGUGGGACUUGCGGUUUCUGGGGGCGAUGUCUGGCUAUAGGAAGGAAUUGGGCGCGAAUGAUUUGGGGAUAAGGGAAAAUACUUCACGACUUUCAAGACGGAAGGUGUAUUGGCUCUUAGAAUUUGAAGUUUCGUGCUCGGGCACCUGCCCCGAGCCCUGCCCCUCCACCAGAGUUGUUACCACGGUUUACUUGUCCCGAGCUCCCGCGGGAUAGGUGCCGCAUUCUAUUCACCUUGGUUGAACCGCCCCGGCUUCUGCACACUUACUUGGCACUUCAUUCAUGUUGAAUGUAUCCUGCUUUCUCCCACCCCAUUUACUCGUUUCAUUACCUAAAUUUUUUCAACAAA